This is a transfer RNA of 74 nucleotides. It matches the Rfam family "tRNA". From Rfam's summary of the family: Transfer RNA (tRNA) molecules are approximately 80 nucleotides in length.
GGGCCCGUAGCUCAGCAUGGUAGAGCGACCGGCUCUUAACCGGUAGGUCAGGGGUUCGAAGCCCCUCGGGCCCG